CCUGGCGGCCGUAGCGCGGUGGUCCCACCUGACCCCAUGCCGAACUCAGAAGUGAAACGCCGUAGCGCCGAUGGUAGUGUGGGGUCUCCCCAUGCGAGAGUAGGGAACUGCCA
This 113-nucleotide ribosomal RNA is filed under the name Citrobacter koseri. Lineage: Bacteria; Pseudomonadati; Pseudomonadota; Gammaproteobacteria; Enterobacterales; Enterobacteriaceae. RNAcentral also lists the same sequence under 9 other names. The record is from RNAcentral.